AUUGAACGCUGGCGGCAGGCCUAACACAUGCAAGUCGAGCGGAUGAGGGGAGCUUGCUCCCUGAUUUAGCGGCGGACGGGUGAGUAAUGCCUAGGAAUCUGCCUGGUAGUGGGGGAUAAAGUUCCGAAAGGAACGCUAAUACCGCAUACGUCCUACGGGAGAAAGCAGGGGACCUUCGGGCCUUGCGCUAUCAGAUGAGCCUAGGUCGGAUUAGCUAGUUGGUGAGGUAAUGGCUCACCAAGGCGACGAUCCGUAACUGGUCUGAGAGGAUGAUCAGUCACACUGGAACUGAGACACGGUCCAGACUCCUACGGGAGGCAGCAGUGGGGAAUAUUGGACAAUGGGCGAAAGCCUGAUCCAGCCAUGCCGCGUGUGUGAAGAAGGUCUUCGGAUUGUAAAGCACUUUAAGUUGGGAGGAAGGGCUGCUGGUUAAUACCCUGCAGUUUUGACGUUACCAACAGAAUAAGCACCGGCUAACUUCGUG
Molecule: ribosomal RNA, 484 nt
Filed under: uncultured bacterium
Lineage: Bacteria
Description: partial 16S ribosomal RNA
Rfam family: Bacterial small subunit ribosomal RNA
Source: RNAcentral